Molecule: ribosomal RNA, 252 nt
Filed under: uncultured bacterium
Lineage: Bacteria
Description: partial 16S ribosomal RNA
Rfam family: Bacterial small subunit ribosomal RNA
Source: RNAcentral
UACGUAGGGAGCGAGCGUUGUCCGGAAUUACUGGGUGUAAAGGGAGCGUAGGCGGGCGAGAAAGUUGAAUGUUAAAUCUACCGGCUUAACUGGUAGCUGCGUUCAAAACUUCUUGUCUUGAGUGAAGUAGAGGCAGGCGGAAUUCCUAGUGUAGCGGUGAAAUGCGUAGAUAUUAGGAGGAACACCAGUGGCGAAGGCGGCCUGCUGGGCUUUAACUGACGCUGAGGCUCGAAAACGUGGGGAGCAAACAGG